GUGCUCCCUUUGGCAGAACAUCUAUUAAAAUCGGGACGACACAGAGAUGACUGGUGUGUCCUCUGUGCCAGGAAGACACGCAAAUUCACAAAGCUGAUGUUUUU
Molecule: small nuclear RNA, 104 nt
Organism: Mesocricetus auratus (golden hamster)
Lineage: Eukaryota; Metazoa; Chordata; Mammalia; Rodentia; Cricetidae
Source: Ensembl